GAUGAACGCUGGCUACAGGCUUAACACAUGCAAGUCGAGGGGAAACGCCGGGGAAGCUUGCUUCCCCGGGCGUCGACCGGCGCACGGGUGAGUAACGCGUAUCCAACCUGCCUCUGACUGAGGGAUAACCCGUCGAAAGUCGGCCUAAUACCUCAUGGUAUCGUCUGCGGGCAUCCAACGACGAUUAAAGAUUUCAUCGGUCAGGGAUGGGGAUGCGUCUGAUUAGCUUGUUGGCGGGGUAACGGCCCACCAAGGCUACGAUCAGUAGGAGUUCUGAGAGGAAGGUCCCCCACAUUGGAACUGAGACACGGUCCAAACUCCUACGGGAGGCAGCAGUGAGGAAUAUUGGUCAAUGGGCGAGAGCCUGAACCAGCCAAGUAGCGUGCAGGAAGACGGCCCUAUGGGUUGUAAACUGCUUUUAUGCGGGGAUAAAGUGAGGGACGUGUCCCUCAUUGCAGGUACCGCAUGAAUAAGGACCGGCUAAUUCCGUG
Molecule: ribosomal RNA, 491 nt
Filed under: uncultured bacterium
Lineage: Bacteria
Description: partial 16S ribosomal RNA
Rfam family: Bacterial small subunit ribosomal RNA
Source: RNAcentral